ACUCUUGAAAGUUUCUUGAGAAUAUUAUUAGUUUGAGAGUAUCGCAACUACCCCUUUUUUCCCAAUUCAAGUUACAUGAAGAUGGAGUUUUUUAGGUUUUUUUAUAAUAAAUAACACAACUUGUUUUAGUAUUUUACAAGAUGAUAAGCUCUUUAGCUUCAUGGUAUCAUAAUUGUUAUUCUUGAUUUAAAGUUUAUUAAAGUCGAAACAUUAUUAAUUUUAUAAAUAUCAUGAUUGAUACUCUUGAAUGGAAGUUUCUUGAGAAUAUUAUUUUUUGAGAGUAUCAAAAUUAAAACCUUCUCCAAUUCUAGUUUGUGAAGUUGAAGCUUUAUCAGCUUCUUGAAAUAACAUGAUUCAUUUUAGAAUUUUGCAAAAUGAGAAACUUCAACUUAAAGAUGUCAUAGUGAUGCUCUUUUAUUAAAGUAUCAUAAGAUUGAAAUUCCAUCAGGUAUAGAAUGUGAUGAGUUAUUGAUUAAUAUUCUGAAUUUGGAGCUACAUAAGUUGAAAUUGUCUAACUCAAGUGUUUCACAAAAAAUACUAUUUCAGUUCAAAGUUUCGUGGGACUAUAAUUCUUCUAAUUUUCAAAGUAUCAUGAUUGAUACUCCAAAUAGAGUUUCAUAUGCGGAAACUCUUUGACUCUGUAAUUUCAGAGUAUCAUAAUGAUUGUGUUUUAGUAUAGAGCUUCAUGAACUUACAACUCUUAUUGAUCUUAGAGUAUCAAAAUUGAUAUUUAAAGUUUCAUAAGUUGAAACUCUUUGACUUAGAACUCUUAUUAAUUUUAGAGUAUCCUGAUUGAUACUAUAAUAUGAUCAGUACUCCAAAUUAUAUUUUGGUGGAACUCUUUAACCUAAGAUUACUAAAGAAACCAAACAGAUAUCCAAUCUUAGCAUAGAUUUCAUCAUGCAGCUGUAAAGCACAGUUUUUUUCGAAAAUGCAUGUUAUUGAAAGGAUCAGUAAGAUUUGAGCAAUCAAGUCCAAGCUGUAUAGAACCCUAGCAAAGUACAAAAUUCUUUCCCAUUUUGAAGGGGAACCUGCCAUUUGGGUUGAAAAAAUUCCAUUUCACAUAUUACAUACUCAAAAAGAUGUUUCCCGUUUAUCAAAGGGCUGAAGGAAAGUUGUAGCUGCAGGAAAGAAUUGAUCUGCACUUAUCAGCAUACUUCAUUUCCUUUUAUUAUUUGUUAUUUGCUAGACCAUGCUAUGCAAAUAUUUCAUAGAUACAUAUCAAUAUCUCAUACUCUUCUGCUGUAACCUAGGCAUGAAAAUUUUAACGUGUGUCACCCUGGUAGAAUACAGGCCUUCAUGUCUCUAUCACAGUAUGUCAAUAUGUGAUGUGAAUAUACAUUUAAUUAUUUUCUGAAAUAUUGGUCAUUGGUGCACACAAAGGUAAUUCUGUUCAAGGAAAUAUCAAUAUGUUGAGAUUCAUAUAUGUUAGCAGGUGUUAUAUAUUUAGCAGAUAACCCACAAUUCAAUUCUUUACUCCUCCAUAAAGAGAUAGCAAGGUUGUUAAACCAAAGAAACAAAAUGUAACGAGAAAAUUAUUAGAUAUUGCAUCUGAGGAUUGGUCUUUAAUAUUUAAAAACUUCAUCAAGAAAGGAAUUGACAGGGAACAAAUAUAAGUUUGGG
RNAcentral lists this long non-coding RNA (1623 nucleotides) under Phoenix dactylifera (date palm). Its description in RNAcentral is "long non-coding RNA (PDAC_LNC004644)". Lineage: Eukaryota; Viridiplantae; Streptophyta; Magnoliopsida; Arecales; Arecaceae. The record is from RNAcentral.